Molecule: ribosomal RNA, 397 nt
Filed under: uncultured bacterium
Lineage: Bacteria
Description: bacterial SSU rRNA
Rfam family: Bacterial small subunit ribosomal RNA
Source: RNAcentral
GGACGAACGCUGGCGGCGUGCUUAACACAUGCAAGUCGAGCGGUAAGGCCCUUUCGGGGGUACACGAGCGGCGAACGGGUGAGUAACACGUGGGUGACCUGCCCUCAGCUCUGGGAUAAGCCUGGGAAACCGGGUCUAAUACUGGAUAUGACUCCAUGACGCAUGUUGUGGGGUGGAAAGCCUUGUGCGGCUGAGGAUGGGCCCGCGGCCUAUCAGCUUGUUGGUGGGGUGAGGCCUACCAAGGCGACGACGGGUAGCCGGCCUGAGAGGGCGACCGGCCACACUGGGACUGAGACACGGCCCAGACUCCUACGGGAGGCAGCAGUGGGGAAUCUUGCGCAAUGGGCGAAAGCCUGACGCAGCGACGCCGCGUGAGGGAUGACGGCCUGGUUGUAAC